GUGUGAACAGGGCUUGUUUUCCCUUCACGCCCUCGGGCUCCGUUUUUAUGAAGCACUUCCUUCUGUUGGCGCUUUGGGAAUAUUCAUUCUUGGCUCGCACCGCGCACGGUUGACAGUUGGGCUGGGAAAUGUACCCGCGGCUUAAUUAGGGCAUCGCCAGACCUGCCAAGCUCCAGCUCCUCCCCUUCGCGAUUGCCGCGACCCCAGGGACCCCCGGGACCCCCAGGGCAUGCCCCACGCUGUGGGAGGGCGCCUCGCUGCUCCUGAGGCUGUACCAUCAGUGCUCCACCCGUGUGCCCCGCCUCAUAGAAACCUGUCCUGGCCAAGGCAUACCUAUGACCUGUCCUACAGGAAGGUCGCAGGUGCCCUCCCUGCAGGAGCAGAGCAGGCACACGGCAGCAAGUUUGUUGAGCGAAAAAGGAACAGAGCAGAUCUCAGCACAGUGCUCUUGCUGACUCGACUGGUCCUUCCUUCCAGUUCUCAGCCUCUUGACCUCAACACGUUCCUCACUGUCCCCACAGCUUCAGUUUCCCAUACUUUGCAUGCUUGGAACAAAGUACUCCUCUCGAGUGGGCCCACCGAGCUCCUUCCUCCUGGACCCCUUCCCACUGGUCCCUGGGAUCCUGGGACACCAGCGAGGAGGGGCUGUCGCUCCUGAGCUCGCACCCAACUCUGCAGGCCCGGGUGUUAUCUCUUGCAGCAGCUGACAGUGGCGCCGGCACCACUUUGGUGUCACUUUUAACACUGCGCGUUAACACCACUGGCUGACUGUCUGCGCAAGGAGGCCCCGGCAGAGCCGCGUGCAGCCACACCCCACAUGUGGAGUUGUUAAUCCGGCAGUUGUUCAGCAGGUUCUCUGGGCCUCACCUCCAAAUGUGUUACUUCUGGAGGGAAAGACGCCCACAGAACAGCACAAGCUCUCCAGGAAGGAACGACAGAACCGGCCUGUCCUGCGUUGGCCAGGAAGAGAAGAGGAGGCAUUUCUGAGCAAGGACAUGCAAAGUUUUGGUGCCUGGAUCUCUGCCACCUACAUACAGUUCCCUAAAUUAGAAGAAUAAGAGGAAGGAGAGAACGAGGAAGAGGGAAAUAGUGUCACCAUACAACUUAAAAUCUUUUCUUAAAUCUGCAGCUUUAUCCGUGCCACAUGUUUUCGAAGAAUAUUUUAUGAUGUAAUGGGAAGAGACAAAAGCAGUGAAAAAGCAAAAUCACAGACGCGAUGUGUCUUCGAUUCUGGGAAUGUGUGGGGUGGACGUAGUCACGGUGUCCCAGGUCCACUCGCCCAUUGCAUCCAGGCACCCUGGAAGAUUUCCCUUCCUCGCCCCUUGAUAUCAGGAUGGUUGUGUGAGUUGCUUUGGCCAGUGAAAUGCGAGAGAAGUAACCUGUGUCACUUCUGGGUGAUGGUGUUCAAUUGCUGGUGCAACCCUUCCCAGCCCACUCUCCCCUGGCCUAAGCAGUCAUGGGAAUGUGUAUUCAUUCUGAAGGCCCAGAAGCUCAAAGGAGCCUCUAUCACUGAGCCACAAUAUGGGAAAGAGCACCUGAGAGUCACCCAGACUCCUGUGAUCUGGGUAUGAGCAGAAAUGAACCUCUGUGCCUUGAAACCACUGAGAUUUUGGUACGGUUUUCCCUGGACUAUGAUCUACACUGACUGAUAAAAUAAGUAUACAAAAUAGAUGGAAAAAUAUUAUCGAGAAGCAUUGCAGUGACUGGUAAUUUUUGUUUUUACACUUUACCAGAUUUCUCCCAUUUUUUACAGUCAGCAUGUUUUACUUUUAUGAUGUUUAAAUGUUCCCGGUCUUACGCAUAGCUAGCUUUUUUGAGUAAAUAAAUGUGUCCUUGGUACGGG
This 1843-nucleotide long non-coding RNA is filed under the name Homo sapiens (human). Its description in RNAcentral is "non-protein coding lnc-GLI2-4:2". Lineage: Eukaryota; Metazoa; Chordata; Mammalia; Primates; Hominidae. The record is from RNAcentral.